Non-coding RNA from Podarcis lilfordi (Lilford's wall lizard), 71 nucleotides. The record is from the annotation of a GenBank genome assembly. NCBI's taxonomy places the organism in Eukaryota, Metazoa, Chordata, Lepidosauria, Squamata, Lacertidae.
GAUAGCUCAGUUGGUUAGAGCAUGGUGCCAAUAAUUCCAAGGUUACAGGUUUGAUCCCCAUAUGGGCAACU